ACCAGCCAGUGAAACCUCUGGAUAGAGCCGUCUUCUGGAUUGAGUUUGUCAUGCGCCACAAAGGAGCCAAGCACCUUCGUGUGGCAGGGCAUGACCUCAGCUGGGUCCAAUACCACUCUCUGGAUGUCAUUGGGUUCCUGCUGGCCUGUGUGGUGACUGUGAUGUUCAUCCUCAAAAAGUGUUGCCUCUUUUGUUGUCAGAAGUUUACAAAAGCUGGAAGAAAGAAGAAAAAGGAGUAGAUGAACUGAAGAAGACUGACACAAGGACCUCUCCAGUGCCACACAGUAAGGGGGGCAAUGAUGGUAGGGUCCUUCAGCCUGUGACAAGAUAAUUUUUCAAUAAUUAUCAAGUCAGAAAACUUUUUUCCCAGAUAAUUGAUAGUUCUUUUGGAAUUAGUAGGAUUUCAGCCAAAGAUAAAAUUGAAAGGGAAACAUAAGUAAAAUUAACAGCGUCAACAUGAAUACACAUAGAAAUUCAUUUCUGCAGCAUAAAAGUUAAAUCAAAGAAUGUUAUGGCUGAAGCAUUGGCUCUCUGAUCUAAUCAUUUGUCAGGCAAGACUUCCCUUUUGGUUUUGGAUGCCAGGAACUCAUAUAAAAGCCUUAUCCAGUAGCAUCUGGUACUGCAGUAUAAGAAAAUCAGGAGAUGUGAGAUGCAUUCAGGACAAGUGCCUGAAGCUCUCAGGCCAAGUAGCCUGGUUCUCAGCAAGAAAUAGCCUACCUCAUAGAAUGUGAAAGGGAAACAUAACACUGGAGGAGGUGGUCUUAUGUCCCAUAGGUGUGCCCUAGCAUAUGUGUGCCCCACUCACAAAUUAACAAGCACAAAUUAACAAGCAUGUAAAUAUACACAUAUAUACAGGCUUUAAAUUCACACAUACACACACACACCAAAUUUUUCUGGCGACUAACAGUUUGUAGAUACAAGGUCACUAAGAAGCACACUCGCAACUAUACGGUUUUACAAGCAUUGAACAAACCAUUUUUUGCAAACUUUAAAGGACAAAUCUCUAGAUUAAAGUGUUCAGAAUUGGAGUUGUGAAUCCCCUAACCUACAUUUGUCUUUCAUAGACCAAUACUGUUGCAGAGUCUCAUGUACAAUGUGCCUCUGAAUGACCUCUUCCUUAAAGGACCUACCAAGAUUGUACUUGGACCUGAAGGGAUGACUCCACAGUUACUAACUCUAGGUUCCUCUUCCAUAGAACCCUCCCCAUUCCUUUCCCCCCUCCAUAUGAUGAUGACUCUGGACCAGCAGUAUCUCAAGUGUCAUAGCCUCUUCCACCCUCUUCUGCCCUCUGUUUGGUGCUGCAUUCAUGUGGCACAGAGACAGUGUGAAAGAAGCUCACAUACACAUAAAGGAUUAAAGAAAAUUUUUGAUUCGUGAAAUGAGUUCUGUUUCCCUUCAACAUUAUAAAGAAUAAUGAGAUUCCUUUAGUCUUCUAGUUAGCCAUUGCAAAUAGAUGUAAGAUCUCAAUUUGUUUGAAUAAUACAGAAUAAAGACACAAAAUAAGUUGUUCUUGCCCAGUUGCAAGGUCUAUGAGUGUAGUGUGUGUCCCCUUCUGUAGAGCAAUAUAAUUUACCUAUGCUUUUUGUGUCUAUGUGGUGGAUUUAA
Molecule: long non-coding RNA, 1605 nt
Filed under: Rattus norvegicus (Norway rat)
Lineage: Eukaryota; Metazoa; Chordata; Mammalia; Rodentia; Muridae
Description: long non-coding RNA NONRATT009288
Source: RNAcentral